CAGACGUCUACGGAAACAUUCAUUCCCAAGUUAGAAACUGCUAAGGAUCUUACGAAGACAUGGAGGAAAUAAAACAUCUAAUGAUUCUUGUCCUGGUAGCAGCAACUUUAACCCCAACUGCCGCACCAGGCCAAAGCACAUCACAGACCACCUCACCAACCACCACACCAGGCC
Long non-coding RNA from Esox lucius (northern pike), 174 nucleotides. RefSeq lists it as uncharacterized. The record is from RefSeq and is a predicted model, not a curated record. NCBI's taxonomy places the organism in Eukaryota, Metazoa, Chordata, Actinopteri, Esociformes, Esocidae. The transcript has 3 exons.